This 448-nucleotide ribosomal RNA is filed under the name uncultured bacterium. Its description in RNAcentral is "bacterial SSU rRNA". It matches the Rfam family "Bacterial small subunit ribosomal RNA", at positions 328 to 793 of the family's 1533-position model. The record is from RNAcentral.
UGGCCAGACUCCUACGGGAGGCAGCAGUGGGGAAUACUGCACAAUGGGGGAAACCCUGAUGCAGCGACGCCGCGUGAGUGAAGAAGUAAUUCGGUAUGUAAAGCUCUAUCAGCAGGGAAGAGAAUGACGGUACCUGACUAAGAAGCCCCGGCUAACUACGUGCCAGCAGCCGCGGUAAUACGUAGGGGGCAAGCGUUAUCCGGAUUUACUGGGUGUAAAGGGGGCGCAGACGGCAAUGCAAGCCAGGAGUGAAAGCCCGGGGCCCAACCCCGGGACUGCUCUUGGAACUGCAUGGCUGGAGUACAGGAGGGGCAGGCGGAAUUCCUAGUGUAGCGGUGAAAUGCGUAGAUAUUAGGAGGAACACCGGUGGCGAAGGCGGCCUGCUGGACUGUGACUGACGUUGAGGCCCGAAGGCGUGGGGAGCAAACAGGAUUAGAUACCCCAGUAU